Molecule: ribosomal RNA, 490 nt
Filed under: uncultured bacterium
Lineage: Bacteria
Description: partial 16S ribosomal RNA
Rfam family: Bacterial small subunit ribosomal RNA
Source: RNAcentral
AGUGAACGCUGGCGGCAGGCCUAACACAUGCAAGUCGAACGGCAGCACAAGAGAGCUUGCUCUAUGGGUGGCGAGUGGCGGACGGGUGAGGAAUGCAUCGGAAUCUGCCCAUUUGUGGGGGAUAACCUCGGGAAACCGGGACUAAUACCGCAUACGACCUACGGGUGAAAGCAGGGGAUCUUCGGACCUUGCGCAGAUGGAUGAGCCGAUGCCGGAUUAGCUAGUUGGAGGGGUAAAGGCCCACCAAGGCGACGAUCCGUAGCUGGUCUGAGAGGAUGAUCAGCCACACUGGGACUGAGACACGGCCCAGACUCCUACGGGAGGCAGCAGUGGGGAAUAUUGGACAAUGGGCGCAAGCCUGAUCCAGCCAUGCCGCGUGUGUGAAGAAGGCCUUCGGGUUGUAAAGCACUUUUGUUGGGAAAGAAAAGCAGCCGGUUAAUACCCGGUUGUCAUGACGGUACCCAAAGAAUAAGCACCGGCUAACUUCGUG